Molecule: transfer RNA, 73 nt
Filed under: Arabis alpina (gray rockcress)
Lineage: Eukaryota; Viridiplantae; Streptophyta; Magnoliopsida; Brassicales; Brassicaceae
Description: tRNA ENSRNAG00050208795
Source: RNAcentral
UGCCCCGGGUGAGGAUCGAACUCACGGCCUUCAGAUUAUGAGACUGACGCGCUGCCUACUGCGCUACCGAGGC